RNAcentral lists this unclassified non-coding RNA (200 nucleotides) under uncultured Chaetothyriales. RNAcentral describes it as "sequence contains ITS1". The record is from RNAcentral. Lineage: Eukaryota; Fungi; Ascomycota; Eurotiomycetes; Chaetothyriales.
CCGAGUUAGGGUUCGUCCAACGAGCCCGACCUCCCAACCCUUUGUCUAUCUUACCUUGUCGUUGCUUCGGCGGACCGGCCGUGACCGACUGGUCGUGGCCGCCGGGGGUCCACCCCCUGGAGAGCGUCCGCCGACGGCCCAACCACAAACUCUUGUACCAAACCAUGUCGUCUGAAUUACUUGAUUAAAAUCAAAAAACA